CUUCCGUAGGGGUGACCUGCGGAAGGAUCAUUACUGAGUGAGGGCCCUCUGGGUCCAACCUCCCACCCGUGUUUAUUGUACCUUGUUGCUUCGGUGCGCCCGCCUCACGGCCGCCGGGGGGCUUCUGCCCCCGGGUCCGCGCGCACCGGAGACACCAUUGAACUCUGUCUGAAGAUUGCAGUCUGAGCAUAAACUAAAUAAGUUAAAACUUUCAACAACGGAUCUCUUGGUUCCGGCAUCGAUGAAGAACGCAGCGAAAUGCGAUAACUAAUGUGAAUUGCAGAAUUCAGUGAAUCAUCGAGUCUUUGAACGCACAUUGCGCCCCCUGGUAUUCCGGGGGGCAUGCCUGUCCGAGCGUCAUUGCUGCCCUCAAGCACGGCUUGUGUGUUGGGCUCCGUCCCCCCGGGGACGGGUCCGAAAGGCAGCGGCGGCACCGAGUCCGGUCCUCGAGCGUAUGGGGCUUUGUCACCCGCUCUGUAGGCCCGGCCGGCGCCAGCCGACAACCAAUCAUCCUUUUUUCAGGUUGACCUCGGAUCAGGUAGACCCGAUCCC
This 552-nucleotide ribosomal RNA is filed under the name Penicillium glabrum. Its description in RNAcentral is "eukaryotic LSU rRNA". The stretch from base 207 to 360 matches the Rfam family "5.8S ribosomal RNA". Lineage: Eukaryota; Fungi; Ascomycota; Eurotiomycetes; Eurotiales; Aspergillaceae. The record is from RNAcentral.